Molecule: long non-coding RNA, 228 nt
Filed under: Salvia miltiorrhiza (redroot sage)
Lineage: Eukaryota; Viridiplantae; Streptophyta; Magnoliopsida; Lamiales; Lamiaceae
Description: long non-coding RNA (SMIL_LNC009917)
Source: RNAcentral
GCUUUUCUCUCCUCUGGCGCUUUUCUCUGACUUAGCGAGUUCUCUGCUCUGUCUGAGACGAUUUCUCUGCUCUGGUCUGGUCUGGCGUAAAAACGCCAUUUUUAGCCAAAAAUCCCCAAAAUUAUACUCUUCCACCUUUAAAACCUAAAUCUCCUGAAAAGCAUCAAAUACACCAUAAAACGGACCAAUUUCCAGAAGAUUUAUCUUACAAUGAGCACAUUCAAACCC